CAAAAUGUAGCUUAAUAAAGCCCCCCGCUUACACCGAGAAGUUGUCUGCUAAACCCAGAUCAUUUUGA
RNAcentral lists this transfer RNA (68 nucleotides) under Nidirana pleuraden (Yunnan pond frog). RNAcentral describes it as "tRNA-Val". The record is from RNAcentral. Lineage: Eukaryota; Metazoa; Chordata; Amphibia; Anura; Ranidae.